Podarcis raffonei (Aeolian wall lizard) is the source of this 361-nucleotide long non-coding RNA. RefSeq lists it as uncharacterized. Lineage: Eukaryota; Metazoa; Chordata; Lepidosauria; Squamata; Lacertidae. The record is from RefSeq and is a predicted model, not a curated record. The transcript has 2 exons.
UGUCUUCUUCACCUUCUUCUUCGCUACAAUAUAUCCAUUUAUUUCCAAUUGUCAAUCCUUUCCUCCGGGCAAUGCCAGGUGGCAGACUAUGCGUACAUGGACCAUUGUCUUCUCAUCACCGGUACUCAGGAUGUGCUUAUCUGCGCAUAUCUCCAGCUCUGCAUAUUCCCCCCUCCCUCCUCCAUAUGUUAAUCCUGUGUAACCCAACCUCUUCUUAAAGUAUUCAUGAUGUAACUGGGAUGUAUUUUGCACUGUAUUCUGGGACAUGGAGGGAAGUUUCAAAAGUUCAUGUCACCCCUUUCUCGCUGUUCAAUCUUGCCUUGAACCUGUUGUGCAAUAAACUUGGAUCUUCUGCAGUUUG